Molecule: long non-coding RNA, 411 nt
Organism: Myotis davidii
Lineage: Eukaryota; Metazoa; Chordata; Mammalia; Chiroptera; Vespertilionidae
Exons: 2
Source: RefSeq, a predicted model, not a curated record
CCCCAACUCUACACACCUACGUGCAGAAGAUCCCCAGGAAGAAACUGUCAUGCCAAACCUCUGCCCAGGUUGUCACGGAGACCGCCUGAGUCCCUGCGAUCCUGCCGUGAGCAUUGCCAUAGAACAGGGUGCCCUGGACUGGCUAUCGCUGCACUGAAGGGUGUGCCCUGUGUGCCGGGACCCCUGGUAUCAUUUAUGAAGCUGGUAAUCUAGGACCUACGUGUGAACAACUUUAUAUGAGUAUUUUUUGUACUUGGUUUACUUGGGUUGGUAUGAUACAUGAUAUUUAAGUUCCUUGAACACUGUGGAGCCCCUAAUGUGUAUGAAUGACUGAGGCUUUGUAAAUUAAGGGACGUUUGUGUGAAUAAAGUUAUUUGAUGGGGGUCAAAGAAGCCAUAUGUGAUUUGAAAA